UACGUAGGGAGCAAGCGUUGUCCGGAAUCCUUGGGCGUAAAGCGCGCGUAGGUGGCCUCGUAAGUCCGUUGUGAAAGUCAAAGGCUCAACCUUUGAAAGCCGAUGGAUACUGUGAAGCUAGAGUACGGAAGAGGCGAGUGGAAUUCCUGGUGUAGCGGUGGAAUGCGCAGAUAUCAGGAGGAACACCAAUAGCGAAGGCAGCUCGCUGGGACGUUACUGACACUGAGGCGCGAAAGCGUGGGGAGCGAACAGG
RNAcentral lists this ribosomal RNA (253 nucleotides) under uncultured bacterium. RNAcentral describes it as "partial 16S ribosomal RNA". It matches the Rfam family "Bacterial small subunit ribosomal RNA", at positions 524 to 776 of the family's 1533-position model. The record is from RNAcentral.